CAGGUGGUGCAUGGCUGUCGUCAGCUCGUGUCGUGAGAUGUUGGGUUAAGUCCCGCAACGAGCGCAACCCUUGUCCUUAGUUACCAGCAAGUAAUGGUGGGCACUCUAAGAAGACCGCCGGGGUCAAUCCGGAGGAAGGUGGGGAUGACGUCAAGUCAUCAUGCCCCUUACGUCCAGGGCUGCACACGCGCUACAAUGGUCGAUACAAAGGGUCGCCAACCCGCGAGGUGGAGCCAAUCCCAUAAAGCCGAUCGCAGUCCGGAUCGCAGUCUGCAACUCGACUGCAUGAAGUCGGAAUCGCUAGUAAUCGCGAUCA
RNAcentral lists this ribosomal RNA (316 nucleotides) under uncultured bacterium. RNAcentral's name for it is "bacterial SSU rRNA". It matches the Rfam family "Bacterial small subunit ribosomal RNA", at positions 1035 to 1350 of the family's 1533-position model. The record is from RNAcentral.